Long non-coding RNA from Jaculus jaculus (lesser Egyptian jerboa), 717 nucleotides. RefSeq lists it as uncharacterized. The transcript has 3 exons. The record is from RefSeq and is a predicted model, not a curated record. NCBI's taxonomy places the organism in Eukaryota, Metazoa, Chordata, Mammalia, Rodentia, Dipodidae.
GAAGUAUAAAGACGGAGAGGGGAGGUGUUUAUGUGCAUGCAGAGAAGGGAAAGUAAAGCCGGGCCUGGUGGCACGCGCCUUUCAUCUCGGGAGGCUGAGCUAGGGUCACGUGGAAGAAGAGCGCUGAGCUUCUGCGGUGCAGCCGGGAUUUCGGGCAACAGGGACUGAUUUGUGCGCACCUACGUAGCACGGAGACCAGAGCUGUUUGUGUGCAGCUGCCUGGAUGUCUGGAACGGGCCUGUAACGGAGGGAGCCCACGGUGGUCCCGACUGCCUGACGGUGUGCCUGCGUCUGUGCUCGCGUUAUGUCCAAGCUAGUGCCGUUGGCGCCUGCCACGUUGAGCCCGCCUCCCACGCCGUGAUCUUGGGCUUGUCUUGACCCCCGAACUCUCCACCAGCCCCCACAGCCUGGUCCUUGGAGCCCGAGGGUGGCAGCGGAGCGCCGCCGCGCUGGUAAUGGAUGUCUCCCUCGACGGGCGGCUCGGAGCCCUCCUCUCCGCCGGGCUCGCCCUCGGCUUUCAGGAUGUCCAUCUGCAGGCCCUGGCGGUGCUCAAAGUCGAGAUCGUCGCAGUGCGCGAAGCCCACCGCCUCCUCGUCCGUGGCCGCCUGGAAACCCAUCCUGGCGAACAUGCCGCUCACCUUGGCCUGGGACUUGUUGGACACGGACGUGGCCACAUUGGUCAGCUUGCUGCGGAGUAGGGUGGCCAUGGCGGCGACG